CUUGAAAGAUAGGGUAUAUUUUAUUUUGAUAUAUGUAAUUAUUAUAUUUAAGAAAAAAAAAAAUAAGGCGAUACGAUGUUCGCCAGGUUAGCUAAUAAUUUAUAAAGCUUAUUA
Melitaea cinxia (Glanville fritillary) is the source of this 114-nucleotide long non-coding RNA. RefSeq lists it as uncharacterized. The record is from RefSeq and is a predicted model, not a curated record. NCBI's taxonomy places the organism in Eukaryota, Metazoa, Arthropoda, Insecta, Lepidoptera, Nymphalidae. The transcript is spliced from 3 exons.